Cavia porcellus (domestic guinea pig) is the source of this 4015-nucleotide long non-coding RNA. RefSeq lists it as uncharacterized. Lineage: Eukaryota; Metazoa; Chordata; Mammalia; Rodentia; Caviidae. The transcript has 2 exons. The record is from RefSeq and is a predicted model, not a curated record.
CAGCCCCCACAGCCCUUGCUGACCUGUGAAAGGGGAGUUGUGUUAGACCAGCCCUUCCUGCCUGCCUGCCUGCGUGCGUGCUGACCACUGGGACCCCUCGGGAACAGAGUGGGCAGGCGCCUGGAACCAGCAAGGCAGGAGCAGGUCCAUGUGCCCACCUGACCCGAGGCCUGAGGUCCAGCAGGGCGGACACGUAGAGGCAGCGCUCCACCUCGCUCUGCAGCUCCCGGCCCCUCAGGACGGCCAGCCGCAGGGUGACAGCAGAGUCCGGCGGCGGCAGGCAGGACGGCGGGACCACCAGCUCCCUCUGGUCUGUGCGGAGAAGCCGCCUCUGCACGCAGCGGCCCCACUGAGCCCAGCAGCGCCCUGAGACAGAGGGAAGCGCUGUCACCUGUCAGCAACCAGGAGCCACUCGGGAUCUCACGGAUGCUCGGGCAGCACGCAGUGGGAAGGCCAGGGCACCCGUGUGCUCCGGUCGGCCCAGCAGCUUCCCCCAAGGCCGUCCAUCCUCCUGCUCUUCCUCCAGCCUCCUCUGCUCCCAUCCUCACUGUGGCUGUGCUCUGGGUACAGCUGGCUGAGGCAGAGCCGCAGUAGCCACCAAAGCUGUCAUUGCCCACAGAGGAGGACACCCAUGGCUCCCUGUCCCUGUGGGUGCUGUGGGCGCCUGGGACCUGUCUCUCUUUCCCCGGGCAGCUAGGUCAUCACCGGCUUUAAGUUGGCAACUCCAAAAACUUCAGCUCUGUUGACCGAUGUCUCUGUCAGCACCUCCGUCCCCGCCCCACCGCGGGGAUCCCAAGAAUUUCCUGUCCCAGGCAUGUGCACGUUAUGCAGAAGUUACACCUGGGUGAAGCAGAGUGAAGAGCCGCCACCUACCGCAGGACCAGCGGAAGCCUAAGUCCCUGUGGGCCUCGGGCCAGCCCAGCGUGAGGGUCGUGAAAGGAUCCACGUACAGACCGGGCUCCACGUACAGCUCUGUGCUGCCCCCGUCGCCCUGCAGAGGAAGCGGCUGCUGAGUGGCCCCCUUGUUAGCGGCCUCACGAGGGGAGCUGUGCACCCCACGAGUCACCAAGAGCAGCCACGGGUGAGGCCUGGGGUGGAGGAGUUGUCUCCCCUCGGGAUCCCUGGGGAAGGGACUGUCUGGCGAGGGUGGCCCAGGGCCCACUGUGCACACAUUGGUGCUGGCUGAGGCCACGCCUGGCCAGUCCUUCCUGUCUGCAGAUGGAACAGAGCUCCAGCGCUUCCCCAGAAGCUGGACAGGAAAGAGGCACAUAAACUGACAAUUAAAACUCAGAGAGGCAAUGGUGCAUCGGUAGAGGAUGGCCAGGGCAGUCUCUAGGACAGGGAGAGGAGGCCACAGGUGAAGCCCAGCCAGAGUCCCCUGUCCUCCAGGUUCCACUGCGCCUAACCGCCAGGGCUGAAGGGUCCUAUCUGCCAGUGCCAAGCCUGGCCUAGGCAGGUGGAGACCAGCUGCUACCUCUGUGACCUGGACAGUGGGGACGGGGGACGUUUCCCUGGAGGACAGGCUCCUGGGACACCAGCCGGGAAGCAAGCGCAGGAGGCAGAGGCUGCGGGAAGGGGUCGGCAGGCUCCGGGUGUGGAUCUGAUGACCUGACCCACAGCGCUCGGGCCGCUGGCCCAGGCCGAGAGCCCCUGGCCGGGAACAGCACAAGCCUCGCACGGAGGGGCAGCAGCUCGGGGACCUGCAGGUAAAGCCAGGCCCCUGCCAGGGCAUCCGGGGCCGACCCACGUGUCUGCCGCUGCACCUAGUGGACCAUCGUGAGCCUUUGGUUUUGGUUCUUCCAUUUUGUCUGCCUCCCUCAGCAAACCUCGCCAGGCAGGGGCCGGACUUCACUCUCGACUGCCUCCCACUCCCCCCUGCCUGCCUCCCACUCCCCCCUGCCUGCCUCCCACUCCCCACUGCCUGCCCCGAGCACCGCAGGGGUCCACGCGGCUACCCCGGAGUCAGCCUGUGCUGAGCAGCCCAGCAAGGAGAGGAAGGCUCGGGCACGCCGUAAAAACUAACCGGCGUGCGCUUUUCUCUGUUCCAUAUUGUGGUUUUUCGUUUUUUGUUUUUUGUUUUGCUGUCUUUUUCCUUUUUUAUCAGUACCGGGGAUCGAACUCACGACUGCCUGCUUGCAAGGCAGGUGCUUAUGCCGCUGAGCUAAAUCCCCAGCCCCCUGUGUUUUAUUUUUUAAAAAUUAUUAUUAUUGUCAGCCUCCCUGGGUAGUCCAGGCUGGCCUUGAACUCAUGGCCCGACUCUGCCUCCUGACUGCUAGGAUGACAGGUCUGGCCUGGUUUGCCAACAUACGCGUUAAAAACUGUAACUCUUAAGUACCGUGUUAACCGCAUCCCAUGAAUGUAAAUGGGUUAUAUUAUCAUCAUCAUUCAGUUAGAAAGAUUUUCUGAUUUUCUGUGUGCUCUCUUCUCUGAUCCACUCAUUUCUAUAGAAGCCUGCUGUCUAAUUUCUAGGAUGUCUGGGAGCUAUUUACAUCUCUUAAACGCUAAUUGUUGGCUUACAGUGUAAUUCUUUAGCGGUUGAGGCCAUGGUUUGUUUGAUUUCAUUCUUUCUGGGCUCUAUCAAACAGAAGAACGAUCCUGAGUGCUUUGGUUACCGGGACCAACAAAACAAAACUCAGAACUGAGGCCCGGCCCUUGGGCAUCACUCAGAACUGAGACCUGGCCCUUGGGCAUCACUCAGAACUGAGACCUGGCCCUUGGGCAUCGCUCAGAACUGAGACCCGGCCCUUGGGCAUCGCUCAGAACUGAGACCCGGCCCUUGGGCAUCGCUCGCUUGCAAGGUUGUUUUUAAAAGAGACUCACAUUCGUGUCUUCAGCAUCUGUUCCAGAAGGCUCUCGGAGACCUGCGAACACAGUGGAAUCGGUGUCAGGCCAUGGCGGGGAACCUCCUAACAGGUUAUUAACAGACUGCGGGCUGGCAGCUGGCUCCUGCCACAGAGCCGGCCACUCAGGAGGCCAUGACGGUCCGUCCUGACCGCCGACCUGAUGAGAACCAGAGACACGGUGAGGGGUCUCUGGGUAGCUCGGGGGGCUCCAACUAGUGAGGUCACUGACCGAUGGACGGCCGUAGUGGAUGGCUCCAGGAAUGGCUCGGGGCCUCGUUAGAAUAACUGAGCCAUCGCCCCAGCAGAAACCUGGGAACGCUCUGGGUCCCUGCUCCUUCCUCUGCAGCGUCCCCAGUGCCUGGGUGAGGGUAGCAGCACACACUCAGGAGAUGCAGAGCAGCAAAACCGCGUCUGGGCUACCGAGGCCUCUGCGCAGUGAGGAAGAGGCAGCCGCCAGUGCAGGUGGACCGCAGGCUUUCGAGUCCACUGAGCGCAUCUCUGUGCUGUAAAUGAUUAACUGCCGUUUGAGGGCUGGGUGAAGAGGCCAGGUGAGGAGCCCGGUUUGCAGCCUGGUUUACGUCCAUGGUGCAAACACCCCCCCAGCAUGGAGCUCAAGCUGCCAGGCCACCAUCACGGCAUGUAUAUUGAGGAGAGAUCGAGCUGUAGGGAUGCGGCCCGGCCACCAGCUGUGCGUCCGCAGCCCCCCAGCGGCUUCUGCAGGCAGUGCCCACCUGCAGCUUACGCUUUCUGAGCCUUCAUUUCCUGCUCUGUAAGACCGAAGGGAGCCUGAUGCUCAGGGCUGCAGGAGCCCCGAGCGCUGUGUUUAUCCUACCGCUUCACAAACUCCAGGUCUGCUGAGAACACUAGUAGCCGGGUGUGGUGAUGCACACCCGUUAUCCCAGCACUUGGGAGGCUGAGGCGGGAGGAUUGCUGUGAGUUCAAGACCAGCCUGGGCUACACAGUGAGUUUAAGGCCACCCUGAGCUACAUAGUGAGACCCUGUCUCAAAAAAACACAAAACGAAAAACAAAACAAACAAGGGUAUAUAUAAUGAACACUAGCAUGUCACACUUAAAAAACAGAAAAAAAGUGCACUCAAUUAAUAUGUUCUGGAGAUGGUGAAAUGUUAAUAUUAUUAAUGUCUAGCAAUAAAGGCUGGUGAUUAAGACAGAA